UCGAGGAUCUUCGGCAAUGGGCGCAAGCCUGACCGAGCGACGCCGCGUGGGCGAUGAAGGCCUUCGGGUUGUAAAGCCCUGUCGCGGGGGGGGAAAACCGACCCCCCGGGAGGAAGCACGGGCUAAGUUCGUGCCAGCAGCCGCGGUAAGACGAACCGUGCGAACGUUGUUCGGAAUCACUGGGCUUAAAGGGCGCGUAGGCGGGCUCGUAAGUCCAGGGUGAAAGCCCCCGGCUCAACCGGGGAAGCGCCUUGGAUACUGCGGGCCUCGAGGGGGGUAGGGGCGUGCGGAACUUCCGGUGGAGCGGUGAAAUGCGUAGAUAUCGGAAGGAACACCGGUGGCGAAGGCGGCACGCUGGGCCCGCCCUGACGCUGAGGCGCGAAAGCCAGGGGAGCGAACGG
RNAcentral lists this ribosomal RNA (401 nucleotides) under uncultured bacterium. Its description in RNAcentral is "partial 16S ribosomal RNA". It matches the Rfam family "Bacterial small subunit ribosomal RNA", at positions 355 to 775 of the family's 1533-position model. The record is from RNAcentral.